GAGGAAUAUUGGUCAAUGGCCGGGAGGCUGAACCAGCCAAGUCGCGUGAAGGAAGAAGGAUCUAUGGUUUGUAAACUUCUUUUAUAGGGGAAUAAAGUGGAGGACGCGUCCUUUUUUGUAUGUACCCUAUGAAUAAGCAUCGGCUAACUCCGUGCCAGCAGCCGCGGUAAUACGGAGGAUGCGAGCGUUAUCCGGAUUUAUUGGGUUUAAAGGGUGCGUAGGUGGUGAUUUAAGUCAGCGGUGAAAGUUUGUGGCUCAACCAUAAAAUUGCCGUUGAAACUGGGUUACUUGAGUGUGUUUGAGGUAGGCGGAAUGCGUGGUGUAGCGGUGAAAUGCAUAGAUAUCACGCAGAACUCCGAUUGCGAAGGCAGCUUACUAAACCAUAACUGACACUGAAGCACGAAAGCGUGGGGAUCAAACA
This 421-nucleotide ribosomal RNA is filed under the name uncultured Parabacteroides sp. Its description in RNAcentral is "bacterial SSU rRNA". It matches the Rfam family "Bacterial small subunit ribosomal RNA", at positions 356 to 774 of the family's 1533-position model. Lineage: Bacteria; Pseudomonadati; Bacteroidota; Bacteroidia; Bacteroidales; Tannerellaceae. The record is from RNAcentral.